CCUACGGGUGGCAGCAGUGGGGAAUAUUGGACAAUGGGCGAAAGCCUGAUCCAGCCAUGCCGCGUGUGUGAAGAAGGCCUUCGGGUUGUAAAGCACUUUCAGUGGGGAAGAAAGCCUUGGGGCUAAUACCCUCGAGGAAGGACAUCACCCACAGAAGAAGCACCGGCUAACUCCGUGCCAGCAGCCGCGGUAAUACGGAGGGUGCGAGCGUUAAUCGGAAUUACUGGGCGUAAAGCGCGCGUAGGCGGUCUGAUAAGCCGGUUGUGAAAGCCCCGGGCUCAACCUGGGAACGGCAUCCGGAACUGUCAGGCUAGAGUGCAGGAGAGGAAGGUAGAAUUCCCGGUGUAGCAGUGAAAUGCGUAGAGAUCGGGAGGAAUACCAGUGGCGAAGGCGGCCUUCUGGACUGACACUGACGCUGGGGUGCGAAAGCGUGGGUAGCAAACAGGAUUAGAUACCCUAGUAGUC
This 465-nucleotide ribosomal RNA is filed under the name Vreelandella stevensii. Its description in RNAcentral is "partial 16S ribosomal RNA". It matches the Rfam family "Bacterial small subunit ribosomal RNA", at positions 338 to 795 of the family's 1533-position model. The record is from RNAcentral. Lineage: Bacteria; Pseudomonadati; Pseudomonadota; Gammaproteobacteria; Oceanospirillales; Halomonadaceae.